This 708-nucleotide long non-coding RNA is filed under the name Parus major (Great Tit). Its description in RNAcentral is "lncRNA (ENSPMJG00000005714.1)". Lineage: Eukaryota; Metazoa; Chordata; Aves; Passeriformes; Paridae. The record is from RNAcentral.
UGGCCUUUUGGGGGAUUUGUUUUAUGAAUCUUAUCUUGCAUUUCAGAAUUUCUAUGUGGUUGAAAUGUGCAGCCUCAAAAAAUCCCCAUGACUACUUGGAAACACAUUCUAGAAGCUAAUUUUUUAACUACGAUGGUUUGUGCUAGGAGCAAUGCCAAAGACUCUUGCUCUGUAAUCACUGUGAUGCCUUAAAAACACCUGCAGAGUAACUCUUGCUUAUCAAAGAACAAUAACUAGAAGGCAGCCAUGGUCAAUACAGCAUUUGGAAGAGCUGAUGAAAAACCGGAGGAAAGCACCCCUGGGAUCCCACGCAGACUUCACGGAUGAUUGGCAUGCAGUUUUACAGGGUUAUGCAGCUGCACUUGCUCUAGAUGUGCCAGUAGUUACAGAAGAGAGAAGUUGUGUCAGAUAUGCUAGCUACUGUUCAGAAUGCAACAGCUGCUCUUGGGUGGCUCUUCCUGAGAGCUGGGUGCAUCGUAUCUCUGAGGAUGUCUUAUUAAGGAGUUCUGACCUCCUUUUCUCAUUUCUCCAGUUUAGAUUUUCAACACUGUUUUAUAAAAAUGAAUUUCUUGCCAGUACUAUAAUUUAAAAAAAAUUGUUAAUCACAUAUCUGAAAACUUCUGAAAAGUAAUGUGUGCUGUGAUUCUGUGUGAAUCUUUUGUGACAGGAAUGAGAAAAAAAAAAUAAAAAAAAGCUCAGAAUCUGGCA